GACAGAGGGUGCAAACGUUGUUCGGAAUUACUGGGCGUAAAGCGAGUGUAGGCGGUGAGAUAAGUCGGACGUGAAAGCCCGGGGCUCAACCUCGGAAGUGCGCUCGAUACUGUCUCGCUUGAGUGUCGGAGAGGUUGGUGGAAUUCUGGGUGUAGAGGUGAAAUUCGUAGAUAUCCAGAGGAACACCGGUGGCGAAGGCGGCCAACUGGACGACUACUGACGCUGAGACUCGAAAGUGUGGGGAGCAAACAGG
Molecule: ribosomal RNA, 253 nt
Filed under: uncultured bacterium
Lineage: Bacteria
Description: partial 16S ribosomal RNA
Rfam family: Bacterial small subunit ribosomal RNA
Source: RNAcentral